CAGGGUAUUCCUUUAGUAGCGGCGAGCGAAGCGGGAAGAGCUCAAAUUUGAAAGCUGGCGUCCUACGGGCGUCCGCAUUGUAAUCUAUAGAGGCGUUUUCUGUGCUGGACCGUGUCCAAGUCCCUUGGAACAGGGUAUCAAAGAGGGUGACAAUCCCGUACUUGACACGACAACCAGUGCUCUGUGAUACGUCUUCUACGAGUCGAGUUGUUUGGGAAUGCAGCUCAAAAUGGGUGGUGAAUUCCAUCUAAAGCUAAAUAUUGGCGAGAGACCGAUAGCGAACAAGUACCGUGAGGGAAAGAUGAAAAGCACUUUGGAAAGAGAGUUAAACAGUAUGUGAAAUUGUUGAAAGGGAAACGAUGGAGGUCAGUCGUGUCUGUGGGAUUCAGCCGUCUCUGGCGGUGUACUUCCCACAGACGGGUCAACAUCAGUUUUGGCUGGCGGAUAAAGGCAGGAGGAAGGUGGCACCCCCGGGUGUGUUAUAGCCUCUUGUUGUCAUACGCUGGCUAGAAAGACUGAGGAAUGCAGCUCGCCUUUAUUUCCGGGGGUUCCGCCCCCGUCUCGCUAGGAGUACAAGCAUGGGUUGAAAAAAGUAG
Molecule: ribosomal RNA, 596 nt
Filed under: Saitozyma podzolica
Lineage: Eukaryota; Fungi; Basidiomycota; Tremellomycetes; Tremellales; Trimorphomycetaceae
Description: eukaryotic LSU rRNA
Rfam family: Eukaryotic large subunit ribosomal RNA
Source: RNAcentral